Molecule: ribosomal RNA, 253 nt
Filed under: uncultured bacterium
Lineage: Bacteria
Also listed under: 1 other name
Description: partial 16S ribosomal RNA
Rfam family: Bacterial small subunit ribosomal RNA
Source: RNAcentral
UACGGGGGGAGCAAGCGUUGUUCGGAUUUACUGGGCGUAAAGUGUGCGCAGGCGGCCGCGCAAGUCGAGUGUGAAAGCCCCGAGCUUAACUUGGGAAUUGCGCUCGAAACUACGUGGCUGGAGUGUGGCAGAGGAAGGUGGAAUUCCAGGUGUAGCGGUGAAAUGCGUAGAGAUCUGGAGGAACACCGAUGGCGAAGGCAGCCUUCUGGGCCAACACUGACGCUCAUGCACGAAAGCGUGGGGAGCAAACAGG